Long non-coding RNA from Capsicum annuum, 1668 nucleotides. RefSeq lists it as uncharacterized. The record is from RefSeq and is a predicted model, not a curated record. NCBI's taxonomy places the organism in Eukaryota, Viridiplantae, Streptophyta, Magnoliopsida, Solanales, Solanaceae. The transcript has 3 exons.
AAUCAUACUAUUGAUUUGAUUAUAUUUAAAUUAAAAAUGGAACCAAUCCGAUCUACGUAAAUGUAACAUAUAAGUAAACAUAAUUAUAUAAAAUAUUUUCCUGCCAAACAGAGGAACCUUUCUCUCUCACUGCCGUCUAUCUCUCUCUAAACUAGGGUCUCACUACCCUCUCUCUAGACGGUGGUGACGGUGACGGUGAGUUCUGCUGAGUUGUAUCGACGGCGACGGAGACGACGACGGUAUUGACGUCGUUGAAGGCAUUGCGCUCGUUUCGUUGGUGGUGAAGGCGCUGCAACGGGAUACUUAAAUGGGGGGAAAAGAUGUAACUUUUCUUGAGGUCUUCGAAGAGACGCAUAAGAAUAAAAAGAGUGACGAUACAAGAGGAGAUUGGGUCGAAAUGCGUGCUGAGGAUACACAUGAAGAAUUUCAAAAAGGCAUGGAAGAUUGACGUCAAAUCCAAUCUGCUUCAAAGAAUGGUAUCAUGGUCCAACCAUCACCUGCAAAUAUGACUAAAAUAUGGACAACUGUGAUCGGUGGUUCAGAGAAAGGUAGAAACUAUGGGUUGGGGUUCUCCAAUCCUCGAGUAGUCCUUCAUUCUAGUCAACUCCUCUUCUACUUCACAAAUUAUGGAAGAGAUGAGAAAACAAAUUAUAGAGUUGACGCAAUAGUGUGCCGCUAAUGAUGCUAAGUUUGCCAACUUUGCUAAAUUUGAGGAGUUGGUCAAGAAGCACAUGCCUCAAGUAUUUGAUGAUAAGGAAAAGGGUGAAUCUGAUGAUGAUUAGAUUGUAGUUGUUGGUUCUUGUUUUUGAUUGUGACCUUCAAACUUAAAAUUCUCUUGGGAUGUUUAAACUAUUUGACUCGAUGUUUGUUUUGAAUUGUGACGUUAUUUAGACUUAACAUCCCAGAAGAACUUUAAGUCUAAAUAACAUCACAAUCCAAAACAAACAUCGAGUCAAAUAGUUUAAAUAUCCCAAGAGAAUUUUAAGUCUGAAGGCCACAAUAAAAAACAAGAACCAACAACUACAAUCUAAUCAUCAUCAGAUUCACCCUUUUCCUCAUCAUCAAAUACUCGAGGCAUGUGCUUCUUGACUAACUCCUCAAAUUUAGCAAACUUAGCAUCAUUAGCUGCACACUGUUGCGUCAACUCUACAAUUUGCUUUCUCAUCUCUUUCAUUUCUUCCAUAGUUUGCGAAGUAGACGAGGAGUUAGGCAACAACGAAGGACUACUUGAGGAUUGGAGAACCUCAAGCCUGUAGUUUCUACCUUUCUUUGGACCACCUGUCACAGUUGUCCAUAUUUUAGUCAUCUGCAGGUGAUGGUUGGACCAUGGUACCAUCCUCGGAAGAAGGUUGGGUUUGUGUAACACCUCGCUUUUUUUUUUUGGACUAAAAUUGAACAGUCUUUUCGAUGUAAAUAAACCCGAAUACAACGGUUUCUAGUUGGAAAUAAGUAUGAAUAACAAUGCUUUAGUGUGAGAACAUCUUUUGAGAUGAGUAUACGUCAUAAAAGUCUCCAAGCUCAAAGUUAAGUUGAACACUUACCGGUUGAGUUUCAGUUGAUUUUUCUUGGGUCAACUUCUAGUGACCAUUGCUUCUAGAAUAUAAGGAGUUAUGUUGCCCAUUAAAGAUCUUUUGAGUCCUUUUUUCAAUGCAAUUGAUCGUUCAUCAA